CUACGGGGGGCAGCAGUGGGGAAUUUUGGACAAUGGGCGAAAGCCUGAUCCAGCCAUUCCGCGUGAGUGAUGAAGGCCUUCGGGUUGUAAAGCUCUUUCGGCCGGGAAGAAAUCGUGCAGGCUAAUAUCCUGCAUGGAUGACGGUACCGGAUCAAGAAGCACCGGCUAACUACGUGCCAGCAGCCGCGGUAAUACGUAGGGUGCGAGCGUUAAUCGGAAUUACUGGGCGUAAAGCGUGCGCAGGCGGAUGUUUAAGCCAGAUGUGAAAUCCCCGGGCUUAACCUGGGAAUGGCAUUUGGAACUGGACAUCUAGAGUGUGUAAGAGGGGGGUGGAAUUCCACGUGUAGCAGUGAAAUGCGUAGAGAUGUGGAGGAACACCGAUGGCGAAGGCAGCCCCCUGGGAUAACACUGACGCUCAUGCACGAAAGCGUGGGGAGCAAACAGGAUUAGAUACCCGCGUAGUC
RNAcentral lists this ribosomal RNA (464 nucleotides) under uncultured bacterium. Its description in RNAcentral is "partial 16S ribosomal RNA". It matches the Rfam family "Bacterial small subunit ribosomal RNA", at positions 339 to 795 of the family's 1533-position model. The record is from RNAcentral.